AGAUUGAACGCUGGCGGCAGGCCUAACACAUGCAAGUCGAGCGGCAGCACGGGUACUUGUACCUGGUGGCGAGCGGCGGACGGGUGAGUAAUGCCUAGGAAUCUGCCUGGUAGUGGGGGAUAACGCUCGGAAACGGACGCUAAUACCGCAUACGUCCUACGGGAGAAAGCGGGACGG
This 177-nucleotide ribosomal RNA is filed under the name uncultured soil bacterium. Its description in RNAcentral is "partial 16S ribosomal RNA". It matches the Rfam family "Bacterial small subunit ribosomal RNA", at positions 26 to 214 of the family's 1533-position model. The record is from RNAcentral.